UGCGUAGGCGGUUUGUUAAGUCUGUUGUGAAAUCCCCGGGCUCAACCUGGGAAUGGCAAUGGAUACUGGCAAGCUAGAGUGUGUCAGAGGAUGGUGGAAUUUCCGGUGUAGCGGUGAAAUGCGUAGAGAUCGGAAGGAACAUCAGUGGCGAAGGCGGCCAUCUGGGACAACACUGACGCUGAAGCAAGCUGGGGAGCAAACA
Molecule: ribosomal RNA, 202 nt
Filed under: uncultured bacterium
Lineage: Bacteria
Description: partial 16S ribosomal RNA
Rfam family: Bacterial small subunit ribosomal RNA
Source: RNAcentral